Molecule: ribosomal RNA, 1343 nt
Filed under: uncultured bacterium
Lineage: Bacteria
Description: 16S ribosomal RNA
Rfam family: Bacterial small subunit ribosomal RNA
Source: RNAcentral
GACGAACGCUGGCGGCGUGCUUAACACAUGCAAGUCGAACGGAAAGGCCCUGCUUUUGUGGGGUGCUCGAGUGGCGAACGGGUGAGUAACACGUGAGUAACCUGCCCUUGACUUUGGGAUAACUUCAGGAAACUGGGGCUAAUACCGGAUAGGAGCUCCUGCUGCAUGGUGGGGGUUGGAAAGUUUCGGCGGUUGGGGAUGGACUCGCGGCUUAUCAGCUUGUUGGUGGGGUAGUGGCUUACCAAGGCUUUGACGGGUAGCCGGCCUGAGAGGGUGACCGGCCACAUUGGGACUGAGAUACGGCCCAGACUCCUACGGGAGGCAGCAGUGGGGAAUAUUGCACAAUGGGCGGAAGCCUGAUGCAGCAACGCCGCGUGCGGGAUGACGGCCUUCGGGUUGUAAACCGCUUUCGCCUGUGACGAAGCGUGAGUGACGGUAAUGGGUAAAGAAGCACCGGCUAACUACGUGCCAGCAGCCGCGGUGAUACGUAGGGUGCGAGCGUUGUCCGGAUUUAUUGGGCGUAAAGGGCUCGUAGGUGGUUGAUCGCGUCGGAAGUGUAAUCUUGGGGCUUAACCCUGAGCGUGCUUUCGAUACGGGUUGACUUGAGGAAGGUAGGGGAGAAUGGAAUUCCUGGUGGAGCGGUGGAAUGCGCAAAUAUCAGGAGGAACACCAGUGGCGAAGGCGGUUCUCUGGGCCUUUCCUGACGCUGAGGAGCGAAAGCGUGGGGAGCGAACAGGCUUAGAUACCCUGGUAGUCCACGCUGUAAACGGUGGGUACUAGGUGUGGGGUCCAUUCCACGGGUUCCGUGCCGUAGCUAACGCUUUAAGUACCCCGCCUGGGGAGUACGGCCGCAAGGCUAAAACUCAAAGGAAUUGACGGGGCCCCGCACAAGCGGCGGAGCAUGCGGAUUAAUUCGAUGCAACGCGUAGAACCUUACCUGGGUUUGACGUGGAUCGGGAGUGCUCAGAGAUGGGUGUGCCUCUUUUGGGGUCGGUUCACAGGUGGUGCAUGGCUGUCGUCAGCUCGUGUCGUGAGAUGUUGGGUUAAGUCCCGCAACGAGCGCAACCCUUGUUCACUGUUGCCAGCACGUUAUGGUGGGGACUCAGUGGAGACCGCCGGGGUCAACUCGGAGGAAGGUGGGGAUGACGUCAAGUCAUCAUGCCCCUUAUGUCCAGGGCUUCACGCAUGCUACAAUGGCUGGUACAGAGAGUGGCGAGCCUGUGAGGGUGAGCGAAUCUCGGAAAGCCGGUCUCAGUUCGGAUUGGGGUCUGCAACUCGACCUCAUGAAGUCGGAGUCGCUAGUAAUCGCAGAUCAGCAACGCUGCGGUGAAUACGUUCCCGGG